CAAGUCGAACGGUAAGGCCCCUUCGGGGGUACACGAGUGGCGAACGGGUGAGUAACAACGUUGGGUGAUCUGCCCUGCACAUCUGGGAUAAGCCUGGGAAACUGGGUCACGAUACCGAUAUGAGCUCCUGUCGCAUGGCGGGGGUUGGAAAGGUUUACUGGUGCAGGA
RNAcentral lists this ribosomal RNA (168 nucleotides) under Rhodococcus (subgen. Prescottella) equi. RNAcentral's name for it is "Rhodococcus hoagii partial 16S ribosomal RNA". It matches the Rfam family "Bacterial small subunit ribosomal RNA", at positions 58 to 225 of the family's 1533-position model. Lineage: Bacteria; Bacillati; Actinomycetota; Actinomycetes; Mycobacteriales; Nocardiaceae. The record is from RNAcentral.